AGGAAUGAAAAGGUUGUCUUAAAUAUACAAGUUUUUGCCAAUUGGCUAUGCUAUUUGCCCAUUGAUCACCUACAAUCUGUUCAUGCUUCUACAUAACAUAGGCAGGAAAUGACGAGAACAUGAACUACUGUAUCACUAUCGUUUUAAAACACUAGCAUACGAGGAAAGAGUUUAACAUUUAUACUAUUACAGAUUAGUAUUCAGCUUUACAUGACAAUUAAUGACAUGAACCUAGUGAACUAACAACUAACAUAUAUAUACAACAUCAUAAGGUAUGAAUACAGCUACAAGACUUCAAGCUUUAAGGCUUCAUUUUUUAUUCAUGCUUCAAACUUUCAGCUACAUUGUGUACCAGUGUAGUUUGUGUACCUGGUAUUUAUGAUUCAAAGGAAGGAAGGAAGGAUCCGUAGUGAACAGGCAGUAACAAACACAUCACAACAACAGGUUCAGCAACAGAGAUUUCCAGCAAUAAUAGCAAUAAACCAGUGGCAAUAGAAGACCCAGGAAGGAUUUGAAAUCAAGCAGGACACUUUAAGAAACCAACAACAAUUCCAGAAAGUCCAAACAGCAACACCAAAUGUAUGACAAUAAUACCAGAAAGACAAUAGAGGUGAACCAGUACUCAAACCCAAAAAAUAUGGUCUGGUAGCAGAUGGAUAAUACGUAACACACUCAAGAACAACCACAAGCAACUUCAAGGAGCUAAAUAGCAAUACCAAAUGAACUCUAGUAAUACUAUAUGCACUCAACACCAAAACAAGAGGACCAUUUACAAGAGAAGCAAUGCUUCUGAUUCUGAAAACUCCAGGAAAAGCAAGUCAGCUUAAGUUUUAAAUAAAGACCAGCCUUAAACUCUCUCCGGAUUCAAAGAAGCCGACAGAAAAAUGCUCUCCGACUGACCCCUUUCUUUCAAAGAAAAUCCCCCCUUUUAUUCCAUUCUCUCCUCUCAAACACAUUUUCCUUUUCCGGAUUUUAAGCCUUAGUGGAUAGGUAAUCAUACCUGAAUUUGUCCAUUUAAAACAAAAGUAGUCUUCCACUAAUAGUUGUCUAUUAACUUUCCAAUCCCACUUAGAAAUGUCCUCUGUUGUUCAUUAGUGCCCUACUUAUUACUUAGUGGCCCACUAAUCCCACUAGUUCAAAUUAAAGUUGUUAAGGACCUACAGGAUAGACCAAACAGCCAAUCUAAAUUUCCUUAUUUUCUAUUUUUAAAACACCCCUGGAUCCUACUGGCUGCCACUGUUCUGAUUUAGAACAUCAGAAGACAAAACUAUACCUCUAAUUUUUGAUAUUAUCUUCUAAUUAACAGCUAUAGCCAAUCUUUAAUAAAGAAAUCACAGAACUGAAUCUAUAAUUAACAUUUAAACAUAAAACCAUCUAGUACUGAACAAAAAUGAAUUGAAACUAAUAAGCUCAGUUUUUCAACUUGGGUACCAACAGGCUCAAUCCAAUAACAACAUUAGAAAAGAAACAGGCUAAGCAAAACUACUGAACUUGAACAAUAAUUGCCUAUUAUCAAGUAAUUUUAUCAUUCAACCAUGAAAGACUAACUGACAAAUUUAUUUAAAUGAUUAUGUAGUUUAUAACAUAGAUGCAAUUAACAACAGACCAACAGAAUUAAAACAAACUAACAAGGUGAUUUCAGUUAACUUUAAUCAACCACAUAAACAACAAACACAGGAUAUGCAAACAUGUCGACUCCUGGCUUUGGGGUAAAACAAUGGACCAAAUAUGAACUAAUUACUGGAUGAUAAACACACAGUUCAUCAAACAAGCAGAAAGAAUCAACCAAAUAAAAGGUCUACUGAAGAUGGACAGAAUUGAAAGAAGAAUGAUAGAAAAAUCAAACACACUAAACUAAUCUGUAAACAAACACAAAAUAAAACACAAAUAAGAACCAGGUUAGCAGAACUAAUGAAUAGAGGCAUAUGCACAAGAGAAAGCAUACUGGCAAUUUAGCACUUGAAGCUACUAUUCAUGUUCUUCUAAAUUCUUUCAGUUUUCAAGUGAAUUCAGUUGACGACCUAUAAUUAAACGAUUAUAUGAAUAAUAUCAUAUGGCAAAACAAUCAAUUAACAGGGUGUAACAGGCAUGUUCUGGAUUUCAAUGGUUUAUCAGGGAACAUAAGAAUGAACUAAAUUAUUCUACGACUAAACACAUAACAAACAAUAACAGCAAAUAACAAAAAAAAUGAAUAGAAGAAAAGGACCAAACUAAAGGGUCUAUGGAGAUGAACAGAAUUGAAAGAAGAAAAUAAUAUAAGAAUCAAACAAAUCAGACCAGUCAUGCAAACAACAAAAAUAUAUGCAAAUAAGGAAAGAAGGAAAAAGAAGUACUUAUCUCUUAAAGCUCAAGAACAAACGACCCCAGGUCUCCAUGGACUCGACCAUUUUAAGUCGAACGGACCUUAAUCGGGGUGUUCUCAGUUGAUAACACCUAGAUUAAGGUCAACUAGACCUCAACCUCCCAUCGAUUUGAACAGAUUCCAUAGCUUUGGAAUUCUAGGGUUCAUGCGUUUGAUUUAGGGUUCGAACGUCUCCGGAUUCGAAGGAUUGGUUUGGAUAUUCGUGUUGGGCGUGGAAAGGGGGUUUAGUAGCAUAAAUAUGGUGACCGGCGGUGUAUUUGCCGCUGGGUUUCUGGUGUAAAGCGUUCAAGGGCUGCUAGGGUUUCAGGGGGUUUGUCUCUGAUGGUUUGAGAGAGAUGAAGAGGAAGAGGGUGGGGUGGCUUAU
RNAcentral lists this long non-coding RNA (2726 nucleotides) under Nicotiana benthamiana. RNAcentral's name for it is "long non-coding RNA (NBEN_LNC032375)". The record is from RNAcentral. Lineage: Eukaryota; Viridiplantae; Streptophyta; Magnoliopsida; Solanales; Solanaceae.